UACGUAGGGUGCAGGCGUUAAUCGGAAUUACUGGGCGUAAGGCGUGCGCAGGCGGUUUGCUAAGACAGGUGUGAAAUCCCCGGGCUUAACCUGGGAACUGCGCUUGUAACUGGCAAGCUAGAGUGUGGCAGAGGGGGGUGGAAUUCCAGGUGUAGCAGUGAAAUGCGUAGAUAUCUGGAGGAACACCGAUGGCGAAGGCAGCCCCCUGGGCUAACACUGACGCUCAUGCACGAAAGCGUGGGGAGCAAACAGG
Molecule: ribosomal RNA, 253 nt
Filed under: uncultured bacterium
Lineage: Bacteria
Description: partial 16S ribosomal RNA
Rfam family: Bacterial small subunit ribosomal RNA
Source: RNAcentral